UUUUUUAAUUGGGGGCUGGAAUGAAAGGUAGAUACUAAAGAGAAUGUUUUAUUUAAUUAAUUUUGAAUUUAAAUUAAAAGUAAAAAUGCUUUUAUUAGUCUCUGGGACGAGAAGACCCUAGAAGCUUGAGAUUUUUAUGAAAUUUUUGAUUGGGGCAAUGACUGAAGAGAUAAAUUUUUAGUUAUUUAAGAAAAGGGUUAUAAGUUACUCUAGGGAUAACAGCGUUAUUUAACUGGCAAGUUCUUAUUAAUAGUUAAGUUUGCGACCUCGAUGUUGAAUUAAAAUUAAUUUUAGGCGAAGGAGUUUAAAGUAUUUAGUCUGUUCGACUAUUAAAAUUUUACGUGAUCUGAGUUCAGACCGGA
RNAcentral lists this ribosomal RNA (362 nucleotides) under Timesius vesicularis. Its description in RNAcentral is "partial large subunit ribosomal RNA". The stretch from base 73 to 362 matches the Rfam family "Bacterial large subunit ribosomal RNA", at positions 2046 to 2620 of the family's 2925-position model. Lineage: Eukaryota; Metazoa; Arthropoda; Arachnida; Opiliones; Stygnidae. The record is from RNAcentral.